AUACGGAGGGUGCAAGCGUUAAUCGGAAUUACUGGGCGUAAAGCGCGCGUAGGCGGAUAUUUAAGUCUCAUGUGAAAGCCCUGGGCUCAUCCUGGGAACUGCAUGGGAUACUGGGUAUCUAGAAUACAGUAGAGGGUAGUGGAAUUUCAGGUGUAGCGGUGAAAUGCGUAGAGAUCUGAAGGAACAUCAGUGGCGAAGGCGACUACCUGGACUGAUAUUGACGCUGAGGUGCGAAAGCGUGGGGAGCAAACGGGAUUAGAAACCCCAGUAGUCC
RNAcentral lists this ribosomal RNA (274 nucleotides) under uncultured bacterium. Its description in RNAcentral is "partial 16S ribosomal RNA". It matches the Rfam family "Bacterial small subunit ribosomal RNA", at positions 523 to 796 of the family's 1533-position model. The record is from RNAcentral.